CAAAGGAAGCGAUUCCGGCGGGGGAUGGACAUGCGGCGCAUUAGCUAGUCGGCGGGGUAACGGCCCACCGAGGCGACGAUGCGUAGGGGUUCUGAGAGGAAGGUCCCCCACACUGGUACUGAGACACGGACCAGACUCCUACGGGAGGCAGCAGUGAGGAAUAUUGGUCAAUGGGCGGGAGCCUGAACCAGCCAAGUCGCGUGAGGGAAGACGGUCCUAUGGAUUGUAAACCUCUUUUGCCGGGGAGCAACGGGGUCCUUGCGAGGGCCUAAUGAGAGUACCCGGAGAAAAAGCAUCGGCUAACUCCGUGCCAGCAGCCGCGGUAAUACGGAGGAUGCGAGCGUUAUCCGGAUUUAUUGGGUUUAAAGGGUGCGUAGGCGGGCUGUUAAGUCAGCGGUCAAAUGUCGGGGCUCAACCCCGGCCUGCCGUUGAAACUGGUGGCCUCGAGUGGGCGAGAAGUAUGCGGAAUGCGUGGUGUAGCGGUGAAAUGCAUAGAUAUCACGCAGAACUCCGAUUGCGAAGGCAGCAUACCGGCGCCCGACUGACGCUGAGGCACGAAAGCGUGGGUAUCGAACAGGAUUAGAUACCCUGGUAGUCCACGCAGUAAACGAUGAAUGCUAGCUGUCCGGGGCUUCGGCUCUGG
RNAcentral lists this ribosomal RNA (643 nucleotides) under uncultured bacterium. Its description in RNAcentral is "bacterial SSU rRNA". It matches the Rfam family "Bacterial small subunit ribosomal RNA", at positions 202 to 842 of the family's 1533-position model. The record is from RNAcentral.